AACGAACGCUGGCGGCAUGCCUAACACAUGCAAGUCGAACGAGACCUUCGGGUCUAGUGGCGCACGGGUGCGUAACGCGUGGGAACCUGCCCUUAGGUUCGGAAUAAUUCCCCGAAAGGGGUGCUAAUACCGGAUAAUGUCUUCGGACCAAAGAUUUAUCGCCUUUGGAUGGGCCCGCGUUGGAUUAGCUAGUUGGUAGGGUAAAAGCCUACCAAGGCGACGAUCCAUAGCUGGUCUGAGAGGAUGAUCAGCCACACUGGGACUGAGACACGGCCCAGACUCCUACGGGAGGCAGCAGUGGGGAAUAUUGGACAAUGGGCGAAAGCCUGAUCCAGCAAUGCCGCGUAAGUGAUGAAGGCCUUAGGGUUGUAAAGCUCUUUUACCCGAGAUGAUAAUGACAGUACCGGGAGAAUAAGCUCCGGCUAACUCCGUG
Molecule: ribosomal RNA, 433 nt
Filed under: uncultured bacterium
Lineage: Bacteria
Description: partial 16S ribosomal RNA
Rfam family: Bacterial small subunit ribosomal RNA
Source: RNAcentral